CAGGAGAAGUCUGAGGAGCAACGCCGCGUGAACGAUGAAGGCCUUCGGGUCGUAAAGUUCUGUUGUUAGGGAAGAACAAGUACCGUUCAAAUAGGGCGGUACCUUGACGGUACCUAACCAGAAAGCCACGGCUAACUACGUGCCAGCAGCCGCGGUAAUACGA
RNAcentral lists this ribosomal RNA (163 nucleotides) under uncultured bacterium. Its description in RNAcentral is "partial 16S ribosomal RNA". It matches the Rfam family "Bacterial small subunit ribosomal RNA", at positions 372 to 528 of the family's 1533-position model. The record is from RNAcentral.